Molecule: ribosomal RNA, 2166 nt
Filed under: activated sludge metagenome
Description: bacterial LSU rRNA
Rfam family: Bacterial large subunit ribosomal RNA
Source: RNAcentral
UCAAGUUAGAAAGAGCGCACGGCGGAUGCCUUGGCGCCAAGAGCCGAAGAAGGACGGGGCAAGCACCGAAAUGCCGCGGGGAGCCGCAAGCAGGCGUCGAUCCGCGGGUGUCCGAAUGGGGGAACCCACCACCUUUAAUAGGGUGGUAUCCUUGUCUGAACACAUAGGGCAAGGAAGGGAACCGGGGGAACUGAAACAUCUAAGUACCCCGAGGAGAAGAAAUCAACGGAGAUUCCCUAAGUAGCGGCGAGCGAACGGGGAAGAGCCCAAACCGGUGGAAUGUUAAAGCCCGCAAGCGUUGUUCCACCGGGGUUGUACGGCCUGCAGGGGUUGUUGCGGCGGCCCAGGACGGGAUAAGGUUUAGCCGAAGGCGCUGGAAAGCGCCGCCAUAGGGAGUGAAAGCCUCGUAGGCGAAAAGCCGAAGCCAGUCCGCAGGACCGUGAGUACCACGGGACACGGGGAAUCCCGUGGGAAGCAGGGAAGACCACUUUCCAAGGCUAAAUACUCCUUGGCGACCGAUAGCGCAUAGUACCGUGAGGGAAAGGUGAAAAGCACCCCGGGAGGGGAGUGAAAUAGAGCCUGAAACCGUGCGCUUACAAGCAGUCGGAGGGUGGAGACACCUGACGGCGUACUUUUUGUAGAACGGACCGGCGAGUUACGAUAACCAGCGAGGUUAAGCAUGCAAGAUGCGGAGCCGCAGGGAAACCGAGUCUUAAUAGGGCGGAUAGUUGGUUGUCGUAGACCCGAAACCGGGUGAUCUAUUCAUGGCCAGGAUGAAGCUAAGCUAAACCUUAGUGGAGGUCCGAACCCACUGGCGUUGAAAAGCCAGGGGAUGAGCUGUGAAUAGGGGUGAAAAGCCAAUCGAACCCGGAGAUAGCUGGUUCUCCCCGAAAUAGCUUUAGGGCUAGCCUCAAGGGAAGAAUUAUGGAGGUAGAGCACUGAUUGGGCUAGGGGCCCUGCAAGGUUACCGAACUCUGUCAAACUGCGAAUGCCAUAAUUUGGUCCUUGGGAGUCAGACUAUGUGGGAUAAGCUUCAUAGUCGAGAGGGAAACAGCCCAGACCGACAGCUAAGGUCCCCAAGUGCGAGCUAAGUGGAAAAGGAUGUGGAAUUGCCCAGACAGCCAGGAUGUUGGCUUAGAAGCAGCCAUUCAUUUAAAGAGUGCGUAAUAGCUCACUGGUCAAGUGAUUCUGCGCCGAAAAUUCAACGGGGCUAAGCUCGUCACCGAAGCUUCGGAAGAAAGUUUUAUCCACUCUUACCUUUAAAAGUCCGGUGAGGGAGGAAGUUGGAUUUGCUAAAACCCAACCUUUGGUUUGGUCAAAUCAGGAGGGUUUUAGCCAAAUUCCCAGUUAAGCCGUCACCUGAGUUUUAAAGGUAAGGAUAAAACUUUCUUGGUAGGGGAGCGUUCCAACAGCGCCGAAGGCAGCCUGUAAGGGCUGCUGGAGCGGUUGGAAGUGAGAAUGCCGGUAUGAGUAGCGAAAAGAAGGGUGAGAAUCCCUUCCGCCGAAAGCCUAAGGAUUCCUGAGGAAGGCUCGUCCGCUCAGGGUAAGUCGGGGCCUAAGGCGAGGCCGAAAGGCGUAGCCGAUGGACAACAGGUUGAGAUUCCUGUACCACCGAGCAUCGUUUGAGUGAAGUGGGGACGCAGGAGGGUAUGUCAUCACACUGAUGGAAUAGUGUGUCCAAGCGUGUAGGGUGCGCGGCAGGCAAAUCCGCCGCGCGUAAAGCCUGAGGCGUGAUGGGGAGUUCCUUCGGGAGCGAACUGACAGAUCCCACGCUGCCAAGAAAAGCCACUAGCGAGAUGUGAGGUGCCCGUACCGCAAACCGACACAGGUAGGCGAGGAGAGAAUCCUAAGGCGCGCGAGAGAACCCCCGUUAAGGAACUCGGCAAAUUGACUCCGUAACUUCGGGAGAAGGAGUGCCCCGGCAGUGUGAAGUCUUUUCGGACGGAGCACGAGGGGGCCGCAGAGAAUAGGCCCAAGCGACUGUUUACCAAAAACACAGGUCUCUGCUAAGUGGAAACACGAAGUAUAGGGGCUGACGCCUGCCCAAUGCCGGAAGGUUAAGGGGAGAGGUUAGCGCAAGCGAAGCUUCGAACCGAAGCCCCGGUCAAUGGCGGCCGUAACUAUAACGGUCCUAAGGUAGCGAAAUUCCUUGUCGGGUAAGUUCCG